UACGUCGAGACCUCAGGUUGAU
RNAcentral lists this microRNA (22 nucleotides) under Ixodes ricinus (castor bean tick). RNAcentral describes it as "iri-miR-X11a-3p". Lineage: Eukaryota; Metazoa; Arthropoda; Arachnida; Ixodida; Ixodidae. The record is from RNAcentral.